UUACACUGGUUCCUGUAGGAUCACCAAAGUUAAGCUACUUUGAGCCUGGUCAGUACCUAGAUGGGUGACCGCUUGGGAAUACCAGAUGCUGUAAG
Non-coding RNA from Acanthosepion pharaonis, 95 nucleotides. NCBI's taxonomy places the organism in Eukaryota, Metazoa, Mollusca, Cephalopoda, Sepiida, Sepiidae. The record is from the annotation of a GenBank genome assembly.